UAGAGGUUGAUCAUGGCUCAGAUUGAACGCUGGCGGCAGGCCUAACACAUGCAAGUCGAACGGUAACAUUUCUAGCUUGCUAGAAGAUGACGAGUGGCGGACGGGUGAGUAAUGCUUGGGAACUUGCCUUUGCGAGGGGGAUAACAGUUGGAAACGACUGCUAAUACCGCAUAAUGUCUUCGGACCAAACGGGGCUUCGGCUCCGGCGCAAAGAGAGGCCCAAGUGAGAUUAGCUAGUUGGUAAGGUAACGGCUUACCAAGGCGACGAUCUCUAGCUGUUCUGAGAGGAAGAUCAGCCACACUGGUGACUGAGACNCCANACUCCUACGGGAGGCAGCAGUGGGGAAUAUUGCAAAUGGGGGAAACCCUGAUGCAGCCAUGCCGCGUGUGUGAAGAAGGGCUUCGGGUUGUAAAGCACUUUCAGUUGUGAGGAAAAGUUAGUAGUUAAUACCUGCUAGCCGUGUACGUUAACAACAGAAGAAGCACCGGCUAACUCCGUGCCAGCAGCCGCGGUAAUACGGAGGGUGCGAGCGUUAAUCGGAAUUACUGGGCGUAAAGCGCACGCAGGCGGUUUGUUAAGCUAGAUGUGAAAGCCCCGGGCUCAACCUGGGAUGGUCAUUUAGAACUGGCAGACUAGAGUCUUGGAGAGGGGAGUGGAAUUCCAGGUGUAGCGGUGAAAUGCGUAGAUAUCUGGAGGAACAUCAGUGGCGAAGGCGACUCCCUGGGCCAAAGACUGACGCUCAUGUGCGAAAGUGUGGGUAGCGAACAGGAUUAGAUACCCUGGUAGUCCACACCGUAAACGCUGUCUACUAGCUGUGUGUGCCUUUAAGGCGUGCGUAGCGAAGCUAACGCGCUAAGUAGACCGCCUGGGGAGUACGGCCGCAAGGUUAAAACUCAAAUGAAUUGACGGGGGCCCGCACAAGCGGUGGAGCAUGUGGUUUAAUUCGAUGCAACGCGAAGAACCUUACCUACACUUGACAUGCUGAGAAGUUACUAGAGAUAGUUUCGUGCCUUC
Molecule: ribosomal RNA, 1015 nt
Filed under: Alteromonas macleodii
Lineage: Bacteria; Pseudomonadati; Pseudomonadota; Gammaproteobacteria; Alteromonadales; Alteromonadaceae
Description: bacterial SSU rRNA
Rfam family: Bacterial small subunit ribosomal RNA
Source: RNAcentral